AUUUAGUUGCCUUCCGCUCGUGAAUAGUUCACAGUUAUUUUAAAAAAUGAUUACCGAUUUAUGGGUAAGGGGGAAUAUUAUUACUCAGAUAGCAGCACAGCACACAUUGGAUAAAUAUAAACAUCUUUUAAAAUGGAAAAAUAAUGAAACCAUUCUCGAGUUUGGUGCGGCUGAUGGAAAAACUUCAGUCAACGCAGUUCUACCAGCCUUGCCAAAGGACUACAAAGAGUAUGUUCUCACUGAUGUAUCACAUGGUAUGGUAGAAUAUAUGAAGAAAAAUCUAAACAUACCCAGAAGUAAGAUCAUGCAACAUGAUAUUGCUACAGUUAAGCUUCAAGACGAAUUUAAAAACAAGUUUGACCACAUUUUUGGUAUAUGGGUGAUGCAUAUGGUACCAAACCCCAGACAAGGCUUCAUUAACAUCAACAAAAUGCUUAAACCAGGAGGUCAAGCGUUUGUAUCAUUCGGAGAAGUGACACCAACGGAUCCCGCUUUCCAUAACCUACUCAAGAAUCCCAAAUGGUCAAGGUAUGGACAUAUGCUAUCUCCUCAUUACUACAGCGACAACAUAGAAGAAUCUUAUAAAAAAGAUAUUAAUGCUGCAGGAUUCAAAUCCUACCAAUUCCAUGUCGAAAAGGAUUACCAAGCAUUUUUUGAAAGUCGGGAGAGAUUAAUGACGAAUUAAUGUUAAAUUAAAUUUUCUUCCAUCGCAUUUUAGUCCAGGGUAAUAAGGAUUUUUUCAGGACACUCAAAGAUCCAGCUCAUUUCACGGCAAUCAAUAAUGUAUUACCAAGGAUACCCGAAGACCUUAAGGAUGAAUACUUAAGAGAUUACUACAAAGA
This 842-nucleotide unclassified non-coding RNA is filed under the name Diabrotica virgifera virgifera (western corn rootworm). Its description in RNAcentral is "juvenile hormone acid O-methyltransferase-like". Lineage: Eukaryota; Metazoa; Arthropoda; Insecta; Coleoptera; Chrysomelidae. The record is from RNAcentral.